RNAcentral lists this ribosomal RNA (429 nucleotides) under Acidobacteriota bacterium. RNAcentral describes it as "Acidobacteria bacterium partial 16S ribosomal RNA". It matches the Rfam family "Bacterial small subunit ribosomal RNA", at positions 355 to 776 of the family's 1533-position model. Lineage: Bacteria; Pseudomonadati; Acidobacteriota. The record is from RNAcentral.
UGGGGAAUUUUGGACAAUGGGGGAAACCCUGAUCCAGCCAUCCCGCGUGUGCGAUGAAGGCCUUCGGGUUGUAAAGCACUUUUGGCAGGAAAGAAACGUCAUGGGUUAAUACCCCGUGAAACUGACGGUACCUGCAGAAUAAGCACCGGCUAACUACGUGCCAGCAUCCGCGGUAAUACGUAGGGUGCAAGCGUUAAUCGGAAUUACUGGGCGUAAAGCGUGCGCAGGCGGUUCGGAAAGAAAGAUGUGAAAUCCCAGAGCUCAACUUUGGAACUGCAUUUUUAACUACCGGGCUAGAGUGUGUCAGAGGGAGGUGGAAUUCCGCGUGUAGCAGUGAAAUGCGUAGAUAUGCGGAGGAACACCGAUGGCGAAGGCAGCCUCCUGGGAUAACACUGACGCUCAUGCACGAAAGCGUGGGGAGCAAACAGG